Molecule: RNA transcript, 1134 nt
Organism: Lycium barbarum (goji berry)
Lineage: Eukaryota; Viridiplantae; Streptophyta; Magnoliopsida; Solanales; Solanaceae
Exons: 7
Source: RefSeq, a predicted model, not a curated record
AUUUUUUUCCCCUUCCAGUUGACUGGCUAUCUCUUAAAUUAGUUACGUUUUUCAUCUUUCUCCAUCUUUUUUUGCUGGUGUUGUCUAUUACUGACACUUUUUUGUGUUAUUUUGUUGGUAUAUCUUGUGGGUGUUCGCAGCGUUUGAUCAAUAUCCGAAUGAUUAUUACAGAGAUAGUUUGAUGACUAAUAUCUGGUAGAUUGAUCGGUUUGGUUUUGAUUUAAAGUCAUGCUGCUCGAUUAUUGAUGUUUUCAGCUUUUCUUCUUAGUUUCAUUGGUUUCUCUGUUUGUUCUCAGUUUUUGAAUCUGCUGCGUCUUCCUCCAACUUUUUGGGUUGCGCCUGUCAAUUACUAAUGCUUUUGUUAUAUCGGUUUCACGUAAGAGUAAUGCUUGGAAAACAUUUCAGCAAAUCACAUGGGGGCGUAUCAAGUCCAUUUUCAAGACUUAUAGCUUCCUUCAAGGGAGGUGUUUCCUCUGAUAAUGUCAACACUCUAGAGUAGAAAUACUCUUAGUUGUGAACAAUAUGCACCUUAGUUGCUCUUCCUCAAUGUAGCUUCGAGCUUACUCUCUUAGUCAUCUGUUAGAAUUCGUUACAACAAGAAGCUCCGAUUUGGUUGAGGAUUCUGCGAUUGGCCGGUGUUCUUGCUGGGUAUUCUAACGUACAGAAAAUUGAAGUGGGCUUGUACAAAUCCAAUUCGUAAUUUCCGUGAUGGCAUCCUCUGUGAAGAUGGAGUUUACAGAAUUUUGUGAUUUUUACCGCUCACUGCUAAGUAUGGGAAUUGUGCCAGACCAAUGCUAUGCGUUUCCGAAAUCCAAUGGAGAAAAGCCAUGGAAACAUUAGCAUAAACAACCAACAAUAUGAAGACGGUAAACCUAUUGCUUUACGACAGAGCGUGUUACUUUCGUACUAAAUUUUCCCCUUCCCUUAGAAUUGAUAUUACUUUUGUGAAGUUGGAAAUUUUAUGUCUGUUUUGGGCUAGACUUACAAUCCCCACUUUCAUUACACUAUUCCAUUGUGCAUAUGGAACUCUCAAGCCAUGUAAGAUUGUUGAAUUGACUAUUAUAUCUUGUGCACAUUGAAUUUCUUCCCUGCUAAUGAGUUUCAGACGUUACAUAUAAAUUGCAGUUGCUCUUU